UGCAGAUGGCACAGUGAGGCC
Molecule: microRNA, 21 nt
Filed under: Mus musculus (house mouse)
Lineage: Eukaryota; Metazoa; Chordata; Mammalia; Rodentia; Muridae
Description: mmu-miR-6388
Source: miRBase by way of RNAcentral